RNAcentral lists this ribosomal RNA (2859 nucleotides) under Staphylococcus aureus. RNAcentral's name for it is "bacterial LSU rRNA". It matches the Rfam family "Bacterial large subunit ribosomal RNA". The record is from RNAcentral. Lineage: Bacteria; Bacillati; Bacillota; Bacilli; Caryophanales; Staphylococcaceae.
ACGAUAUGCUUUGGGGAGCUGUAAGUAAGCUUUGAUCCAGAGAUUUCCGAAUGGGGAAACCCAGCAUGAGUUAUGUCAUGUUAUCGAUAUGUGAAUACAUAGCAUAUCAGAAGGCACACCCGGAGAACUGAAACAUCUUAGUACCCGGAGGAAGAGAAAGAAAAUUCGAUUCCCUUAGUAGCGGCGAGCGAAACGGGAAGAGCCCAAACCAACAAGCUUGCUUGUUGGGGUUGUAGGACACUCUAUACGGAGUUACAAAGGACGACAUUAGACGAAUCAUCUGGAAAGAUGAAUCAAAGAAGGUAAUAAUCCUGUAGUCGAAAAUGUUGUCUCUCUUGAGUGGAUCCUGAGUACGACGGAGCACGUGAAAUUCCGUCGGAAUCUGGGAGGACCAUCUCCUAAGGCUAAAUACUCUCUAGUGACCGAUAGUGAACCAGUACCGUGAGGGAAAGGUGAAAAGCACCCCGGAAGGGGAGUGAAAUAGAACCUGAAACCGUGUGCUUACAAGUAGUCAGAGCCCGUUAAUGGGUGAUGGCGUGCCUUUUGUAGAAUGAACCGGCGAGUUACGAUUUGAUGCAAGGUUAAGCAGUAAAUGUGGAGCCGUAGCGAAAGCGAGUCUGAAUAGGGCGUUUAGUAUUUGGUCGUAGACCCGAAACCAGGUGAUCUACCCUUGGUCAGGUUGAAGUUCAGGUAACACUGAAUGGAGGACCGAACCGACUUACGUUGAAAAGUGAGCGGAUGAACUGAGGGUAGCGGAGAAAUUCCAAUCGAACCUGGAGAUAGCUGGUUCUCUCCGAAAUAGCUUUAGGGCUAGCCUCAAGUGAUGAUUAUUGGAGGUAGAGCACUGUUUGGACGAGGGGCCCCUCUCGGGUUACCGAAUUCAGACAAACUCCGAAUGCCAAUUAAUUUAACUUGGGAGUCAGAACAUGGGUGAUAAGGUCCGUGUUCGAAAGGGAAACAGCCCAGACCACCAGCUAAGGUCCCAAAAUAUAUGUUAAGUGGAAAAGGAUGUGGCGUUGCCCAGACAACUAGGAUGUUGGCUUAGAAGCAGCCAUCAUUUAAAGAGUGCGUAAUAGCUCACUAGUCGAGUGACACUGCGCCGAAAAUGUACCGGGGCUAAACAUAUUACCGAAGCUGUGGAUUGUCCUUUGGACAAUGGUAGGAGAGCGUUCUAAGGGCGUUGAAGCAUGAUCGUAAGGACAUGUGGAGCGCUUAGAAGUGAGAAUGCCGGUGUGAGUAGCGAAAGACGGGUGAGAAUCCCGUCCACCGAUUGACUAAGGUUUCCAGAGGAAGGCUCGUCCGCUCUGGGUUAGUCGGGUCCUAAGCUGAGGCCGACAGGCGUAGGCGAUGGAUAACAGGUUGAUAUUCCUGUACCACCUAUAAUCGUUUUAAUCGAUGGGGGGACGCAGUAGGAUAGGCGAAGCGUGCGAUUGGAUUGCACGUCUAAGCAGUAAGGCUGAGUAUUAGGCAAAUCCGGUACUCGUUAAGGCUGAGCUGUGAUGGGGAGAAGACAUUGUGUCUUCGAGUCGUUGAUUUCACACUGCCGAGAAAAGCCUCUAGAUAGAAAAUAGGUGCCCGUACCGCAAACCGACACAGGUAGUCAAGAUGAGAAUUCUAAGGUGAGCGAGCGAACUCUCGUUAAGGAACUCGGCAAAAUGACCCCGUAACUUCGGGAGAAGGGGUGCUCUUUAGGGUUAACGCCCAGAAGAGCCGCAGUGAAUAGGCCCAAGCGACUGUUUAUCAAAAACACAGGUCUCUGCUAAACCGUAAGGUGAUGUAUAGGGGCUGACGCCUGCCCGGUGCUGGAAGGUUAAGAGGAGUGGUUAGCUUCUGCGAAGCUACGACUCGAAGCCCCAGUAAACGGCGGCCGUAACUAUAACGGUCCUAAGGUAGCGAAAUUCCUUGUCGGGUAAGUUCCGACCCGCACGAAAGGCGUAACGAUUUGGGCACUGUCUCAACGAGAGACUCGGUGAAAUCAUAGUACCUGUGAAGAUGCAGGUUACCCGCGACAGGACGGGAAGACCCCGUGGAGCUUUACUGUAGCCUGAUAUUGAAAUUCGGCACAGCUUGUACAGGAUAGGUAGGAGCCUUUGAAACGUGAGCGCUAGCUUACGUGGAGGCGCUGGUGGGAUACUACCCUAGCUGUGUUGGCUUUCUAACCCGCACCACUUAUCGUGGUGGGAGACAGUGUCAGGCGGGCAGUUUGACUGGGGCGGUCGCCUCCUAAAAGGUAACGGAGGCGCUCAAAGGUUCCCUCAGAAUGGUUGGAAAUCAUUCAUAGAGUGUAAAGGCAUAAGGGAGCUUGACUGCGAGACCUACAAGUCGAGCAGGGUCGAAAGACGGACUUAGUGAUCCGGUGGUUCCGCAUGGAAGGGCCAUCGCUCAACGGAUAAAAGCUACCCCGGGGAUAACAGGCUUAUCUCCCCCAAGAGUUCACAUCGACGGGGAGGUUUGGCACCUCGAUGUCGGCUCAUCGCAUCCUGGGGCUGUAGUCGGUCCCAAGGGUUGGGCUGUUCGCCCAUUAAAGCGGUACGCGAGCUGGGUUCAGAACGUCGUGAGACAGUUCGGUCCCUAUCCGUCGUGGGCGUAGGAAAUUUGAGAGGAGCUGUCCUUAGUACGAGAGGACCGGGAUGGACAUACCUCUGGUGUACCAGUUGUCGUGCCAACGGCAUAGCUGGGUAGCUAUGUGUGGACGGGAUAAGUGCUGAAAGCAUCUAAGCAUGAAGCCCCCCUCAAGAUGAGAUUUCCCAACUUCGGUUAUAAGAUCCCUCAAAGAUGAUGAGGUUAAUAGGUUCGAGGUGGAAGCAUGGUGACAUGUGGAGCUGACGAAUACUAAUCGAUCGAAGACUUAAUCAAAUU